This 434-nucleotide ribosomal RNA is filed under the name uncultured bacterium. RNAcentral's name for it is "partial 16S ribosomal RNA". It matches the Rfam family "Bacterial small subunit ribosomal RNA", at positions 29 to 507 of the family's 1533-position model. The record is from RNAcentral.
AGCGAACGCUGGCGGCAGGCCUAACACAUGCAAGUCGAACGAACCUUUCGGGGUUAGUGGCGGACGGGUGAGUAACACGUGGGAACGUGCCUUUAGGUUCGGAAUAACUCAGGGAAACUUGUGCUAAUACCGAAUGUGCCCUUCGGGGGAAAGAUUUAUCGCCUUUAGAGCGGCCCGCGUCUGAUUAGCUAGUUGGUUGAGGUAAUGGCUCACCAAGGCGACGAUCAGUAGCUGGUCUGAGAGGAUGAUCAGCCACAUUGGGACUGAGACACGGCCCAAACUCCUACGGGAGGCAGCAGUGGGGAAUCUUGCGCAAUGGGCGAAAGCCUGACGCAGCCAUGCCGCGUGAAUGGUGAAGGUCUUAGGAUUGUAAAAUUCUUUCACCGGAGACGAUAAUGACGGUACCCGGAGAAGAAGCCCCGGCUAACUUCGUG